AAUCGAAUUAAGCAAACGCAAGUAAUCGAAUUAAGCAAACGAGUUUAUAGGAAGAAUUGAAAAGAAAUCAAAAUUAAACUGAAAUUAAUAAAAACCUCAAAGUGGAAUUCAAAUACAGCAAAUCAACUCUUUGGGAAUUAGCUCUCCAUGGUAUUCAUAUGUCAUAUUCUUUAUUUCAUGAAUUUUGAAUCCCCCAAUCCUAAAACUACUAAGUUGUUUAAAUAGAUCAAGGGAAUUUGGACUUAGUAGCAACCGACCCGAAAAAAUACAAAAUCGGCCCAAAAACUAAGUAUUUUCUUAAGUUUGAAAAUAAAACGAAUUAUUAGACUCUUCUUAACUCCUAAUCAGCUUCUGACUUCAACAUGAAACGUUUAGCUUAUCCUCUCAGCUUUCUAACGCAUAUUAGAACGCAACAAUCUGAUCCUCGUAGCUCAAGUUAUGAUCUGCAUAGUAACAAGGUAUCAAAUAACUAUUUAUGCUGAAAAUAAAGUACAUAAAUAAAAUAAAACAAAAAAUAAACUUAAAUAUAAAAAUACACUAAAAUAGUAAAAAUAAUAGAAUAAACUAUAGAGUUGCCUAAGUAGAAUAGUAGAAGAAUAUGUAUCAAAAUAC
Molecule: long non-coding RNA, 612 nt
Filed under: Lathyrus oleraceus (garden pea)
Lineage: Eukaryota; Viridiplantae; Streptophyta; Magnoliopsida; Fabales; Fabaceae
Description: Pisum sativum (pea) long non-coding RNA (PSAT_LNC005384)
Source: RNAcentral